This 492-nucleotide ribosomal RNA is filed under the name uncultured bacterium. RNAcentral's name for it is "partial 16S ribosomal RNA". It matches the Rfam family "Bacterial small subunit ribosomal RNA", at positions 29 to 507 of the family's 1533-position model. The record is from RNAcentral.
AGUGAACGCUGGCGGUAGGCCUAACACAUGCAAGUCGAACGGCAGCACAGUAAGAGCUUGCUCUUACGGGUGGCGAGUGGCGGACGGGUGAGGAAUACAUCGGAAUCUACUUUUUCGUGGGGGAUAACGUAGGGAAACUUACGCUAAUACCGCAUACGACCUACGGGUGAAAGCAGGGGAUCUUCGGACCUUGCGCGAUUGCAUGAGCCGAUGUCGGAUUAGCUAGUUGGCGGGGUAAAGGCCCACCAAGGCGACGAUCCGUAGCUGGGCUGAGAGGAUGAUCAGCCACACUGGAACUGAGACACGGUCCAGACUCCUACGGGAGGCAGCAGUGGGGAAUAUUGGACAAUGGGCGCAAGCCUGAUCCAGCCAUACCGCGUGGGUGAAGAAGGCCUUCGGGUUGUAAAGCCCUUUUGUUGGGAAAGAAAAGCAGCAGGUUAAUACCCCGCUGUUCUGACGGUACCCAAAGAAUAAGCACCGGCUAACUUCGUG